GUCAGUUAGUAAGGGUCUUGGUCUUGAGUGUCAAAGGUCUUGGUCUUGGAUUUGAUGGUUAAGGAUCUUGGUCUUGUCUUGAUGUUGGUUGAUACGGGUCUUUGUCUUGUUUUGAUGUGGGCUGGUAAGGGACUUUUGUUGCUUUGGUGUAGGUUCAUAUGGCCAUUAGUCUUGUAUUGUUGGUUGGUAAGGACCUUUUCUUGUCUUGGUUGUUGUGGGUUUUGGUCUCAUUUUGUUGUCAGUUGGCAAGGGUCUUGUUUUGGUGUUGGUUAGUAUGGGCCUUGAUCUUGUUUUUGGUGUUAGUUGGUAAAGAUCUUGUCUUGUAUUGGUUGUUGAGGGUCUUGAUCUUGGUCUGGUGUAGGCUGGUAUGGGACUUGUUUUGGUGUCAGUUGGUAAGGUCAUUGGUCUUGUUUUGGUGUCAGGUGGUAUGGGUAUUGGUCUUGUUUUGGUGUCAGUUGGUAAGGGUAUUGGUCUUGUUUUGGUGUCAGUUGGUAAGGGUAUUGGUCUUGUUUUGGUGUCAGUUGGUAAGGGUCUUGUUCUCAAAUUCAAAUUGUAUUGGUCACAUAGACAUACGACGUGCAGUAAAAUGCGUUGUACGACUGUCAGCGAUGGUCUUGACCAUUUAAGGUCUUGGGUCUUCUCCAUACUAAGAUGGUCAUGAUUACAACACUGCAAUGAAACCUGUCUUGAAGCCUUCUGGGUCUUGUUAUACACUGUUCUUCUUUUCAUCCAAUCCUAUAAUUAAAUUAUGUCCUCC
Ictalurus punctatus (channel catfish) is the source of this 757-nucleotide long non-coding RNA. The record is from Ensembl. Lineage: Eukaryota; Metazoa; Chordata; Actinopteri; Siluriformes; Ictaluridae.